GACGAACGCUGGCGGCAUGCCUAAUACAUGCAAGUCGAGCGAACAGAUGAAGUGCUUGCACUUUUGACGUUAGCGGCGAACGGGUGAGUAACACGUAGGGAAUCUACCUAUAAGCGGGGGAUAACAUUCGGAAACGGGUGCUAAUACCGCAUAACAUCUUCUUCCGCAUGGAAGAAGAUUGAAAGACGGCUCUGCUGUCACUUAUAGAUGACCUUGCGGUGCAUUAGUUAGUUGGUGGGGUAACGGCCUACCAAGACGAUGAUGCAUAGCCGACCUGAGAGGGUGAUCGGCCACAUUGGGACUGAGACACGGCCCAAACUCCUACGGGAGGCAGCAGUAGGGAAUCUUCCGCAAUGGGCGAAAGCCUGACGGAGCAAUGCCGCGUGAGUGAAGAAGGCCUUCGGGUCGUAAAACUCUGUUAUAAGAGAAGAACAAAUUGUAGAGUAACUGCUACAGUCUUGACGGUAUCUUAUCAGAAAGCCACGGCUAACUACGUGCCAGCCGCCGCAGUAA
Molecule: ribosomal RNA, 513 nt
Filed under: uncultured bacterium
Lineage: Bacteria
Description: partial 16S ribosomal RNA
Rfam family: Bacterial small subunit ribosomal RNA
Source: RNAcentral